CCUACGGGAGGCAGCAGUUGGGAAUAUUGCACAAUGGGGGAAACCCUGAUGCAGCGACGCCGCGUGAGUGAAGAAGUAAUUCGUUAUGUAAAGCUCUAUCAGCAGGGAAGAAAAUGACGGUACCUGAGUAAGAAGCCCCGGCUAACUACGUGCCAGCAGCCGCGGUAAUACGUAGGGGGCAAGCGUUAUCCGGAUUUACUGGGUGUAACGGGAGCGUAGACGGCAGUGCAGGUCUGGAGUGAAAGGCGGGGGCUCAACCCCUGGACUGCUCUGGAAACUGUACGGCUGGAGUGCAGGAGAGGUAAGUGGAAUUCCUAGUGUAGCGGUGAAAUGCGUAGAUAUUAGGAGGAACACCAGUGGCGAAGGCGGCUUACUGGACUGUAACUGACGUUGAGGCUCGAAAGCGUGGGGAGCAAACAGGAUUAGAUACCCGGGUAGUC
This 440-nucleotide ribosomal RNA is filed under the name uncultured bacterium. RNAcentral describes it as "partial 16S ribosomal RNA". It matches the Rfam family "Bacterial small subunit ribosomal RNA", at positions 338 to 795 of the family's 1533-position model. The record is from RNAcentral.